GUUAACGCUGGCGGUAGGCCUAACCCCUGCAAGUCGCACGGCAGCACAGUAAGAGCUUGCUCUUACGGGUGGCGAGUGGCGGACGGGUGAGGAAUACAUCGGAAUCUACUUUUUCGUGGGGGAUAACGUAGGGAAACUUACGCUAAUACCGCAUACGACCUACGGGUGAAAGCAGGGGAUCUUCGGACCUUGCGCGAUUGAAUGAGCCGAUGUCGGAUUAGCUAGUUGGCGGGGUAAAGGCCCACCAAGGCGACGAUCCGUAGCUGGUCUGAGAGGAUGAUCAGCCACACUGGAACUGAGACACGGUCCAGACUCCUGAGGGAGGCAGCAGUGGGGAAUAUUGGACAAUGGGCGCAAGCCUGAUCCAGCCAUACCGCGUGGGUGAAGAAGGCCUUCGGGUUGUAAAGCCCUUUUGUUGGGAAAGAAAAGCAGCAGGUUAAUACCCCGCUGUUCUGACGGUACCCAAAGAAUAAGCACCGGCUAACUUCGUG
Molecule: ribosomal RNA, 491 nt
Filed under: uncultured bacterium
Lineage: Bacteria
Description: partial 16S ribosomal RNA
Rfam family: Bacterial small subunit ribosomal RNA
Source: RNAcentral